AAAAAAUUAUAUGAAAAGAGUUCAAGAAAAAAAAUAUUGAUAUAAGAUGAUACGGUGAGAGAGCAUCCACCGGAUAUAUCCAAAUCCCGUGGUAAUUUAAAAAUAUACCAGAAAGUUUUGACGGUAAUAAGAAAAAGGAAAUAUAAGCUAAUAAACAUUUGUGAUAUAAAACAAGGGAAUAGUGCACACCUUUUGUGUUUUGCACACAUUUAGCCCCUCCUCCCUCUGCCCUCGUAGCCACCCACAGGUUUUCCACGCCAAGGAACUCAGGAAAUAGAGCACACCUUUUUUCCACAUUUAGCCCCUACUCCUCCCUCUGCCCUCGACGCCACCCACAGGUUUUCCACGCCAGGGAAACCAGGGAAUAGAGCUACACCUUUUUUCCACAUUUAGCCCCUACUCCUCCCUCUGCCCUCGUAGCCAGCCACAGGUUUUCCACGCCGAGCAAACCAGAAAGUCCUGCACAAAAUAGCGGAAGAUGCGUGCUACUUCACGUGUUAGUCGAAAACCAAGCCCACGAGAUUAAGGCAAAGUCACGACACACGCAAGGCCCCAUAUCCGUAAUCACACCGACCUCUACGCGACAUCAGAAGUGAGUCGGAUGGGCGUAUAAGUAGACAUACCCGUGGAUCGGGACGAUGUGGGCACACAUCAGAGCGGAGAGAGGAGAAUGGCGGACAUUGCUCUCCUGGUGGUGGAAGAUUACGAGAGGAGGAGCAGCAGCAGCAGCAGAAAGGUGGGCUGGGAGGAAGGAGGCCACGGGGGGGCGAGGCAAGAGGAGUCGUCCGCGGCUUCUUUGGUUCGUUCGAGCCUUGGGAGGACGGCCAAGGAGGUCUCCUCUCGGAAGGAGCCGGAGAAGGCUCUGCGACCAGGGAGCUCCUUCGUUUCCGCUGCCGUUGAUGGCGUCUUCUCUGCUUGACGCGCUUCUCCGUGUCACUUUGAGCUUAUGAUCGAGAGAAUCUUUUUUUCUCGAAUUUGUAUAAAUAUAUAUUAUUUUAAUAAAUAAAAUCAUCUAAUUUUCAUA
This is a non-coding RNA of Musa acuminata subsp. malaccensis (wild Malaysian banana), 1024 nucleotides long. NCBI's taxonomy places the organism in Eukaryota, Viridiplantae, Streptophyta, Magnoliopsida, Zingiberales, Musaceae. The record is from RefSeq and is a predicted model, not a curated record.